GACCUCGUAGCUCAGUUGGCAGAGCAUUGGACUAGUAAUCCCAAAGGUCGCGGGUUCGAUUCCCACCGUGGUUC
Molecule: non-coding RNA, 74 nt
Organism: Paramuricea clavata
Lineage: Eukaryota; Metazoa; Cnidaria; Anthozoa; Malacalcyonacea; Plexauridae
Source: the annotation of a GenBank genome assembly